Non-coding RNA from Caretta caretta (loggerhead turtle), 1298 nucleotides. The record is from RefSeq and is a predicted model, not a curated record. Lineage: Eukaryota; Metazoa; Chordata; Testudines; Cheloniidae.
AGUGUGUUGGGGGGUGGGGUCACUACGGGUAGGACCAGGCAUAGGGUGCUGGUGUGUGUGUCACACUGGGUACGGAUUGUGUGUGUUGGGCGUGGUGUGUGUGUGUGUGUGUCACUCUGCGUACGGGUUGUGUAUGCUGGGCGUGGUGUGUGUGUGUUGCUCUGCGUACGGGUUGUGUAUGCUGGGCGUGGUGUGUGUGUAUGUCACUGCGUACGGGUUGUGUGUGUUGGGCGUGGUGUGUGUGUGUGUCACUCUGGGUACGGGUCGUGUAUGCUGGGCGUGGUGUGUGUGUGUCACUCUGCGUACGGGUUGUGUGUGCUGGGUGUGGGGUGUGUGUGUGUCACUCUGCGUACGGGUUGUGUGUGCUGGGUGUGGGGUGUGUGUGUGUCACUCUGCGUACGGGUUGUGUGUGCUGGGCGUGGUGUGUGUGUCAUUCUAAGUACGGGUUGUGUGCUGCACCUGGUAUGUGUGUCGCUCUGAGUACCGGCUGGGUGCCGGGCAUAGUGUGUGUGUGUUACUCUGAGUGUGGGUUGUGUGUGUCAGCCCUUUUGCUGUGUGUCAGUCUGGGCUUUGGGUGUGUGCUCUGCAUCAGGGUGGAUAAAAAUCAAUGAUUUUUUUUAUUUAAAUCAGAUUUUUUUGAUAAAAUGCUUUUUGAGGAAAAAACCUAUCUAAAGAUAGUUUUAACUAAGCUACAUUAUAGCUCAAAGAUAUCUCAUCAUAGAAUAGGGAUUAUAAAUUCUAAUUCUAUAGUAUGAGACAAUAUAUUCAUGUAAUGUUUAAGAAAAGUUUUAUAAAUGAGUUCUAAUAGUACAUGGAUUAGGGACCCAAUUUUAUGGGGUUCCACAGGCUUCUGUAUAGAUUAUUUAGGUUAAUCUUUCUAUGGGACUCAGUGCUCAGUUUAGAAGAUACCAUCAGAGAUGCUUAGUUUUGCAGUUCUCAAACUGUGGAUUUGUGUCUCCAAAGGUAACAUGCUUGUUAACAGCAAAAAUGUUUUAAAAUAAAUAAUAUAUAGAUGUGAGAAAUAACAGACCUCAACCCUAUUGUCCCUCUGCAAAUUUGUGUACACAGAAUCAAUCCCUUACCUCUCUCUAAAAGUGCAAAGUUUCAAAAAGUUCAAUGAAUAGAAGAUUGUUGGGGACGGAAUAGAUCUGGACAAGGAGAAGAAGAAGUCUGGAGAUAAAUGUGAGAAGUGAGGGACAUAUGCUUGUUUUGUUAAAAUAUUAUAUGUUUGCUGUUGAAGAAAAAAAUCCAGAAUACUUAAUGUUGUUGUUUUAGUUAAAUAAAACAAUUUAAAUGUC